Molecule: long non-coding RNA, 343 nt
Filed under: Trifolium pratense (red clover)
Lineage: Eukaryota; Viridiplantae; Streptophyta; Magnoliopsida; Fabales; Fabaceae
Description: long non-coding RNA (TPRA_LNC008246)
Source: RNAcentral
GCCCUUUAGAAAUACAUUAGUCACCGAUACCAAAGACUUAUUCACUGAUACCAUAUCAUGAAUAGAAUACAUUGAAAAGAUAGAAGCAGAGAAUGAUUUCCCUUGUAUUAUCAUUAGAGUAGUGUCUUAUUUAUACAAGUAAAGUUGAUGUAUCAUAAGCUAAUUUAUGCUACAUGUAUACAAUAAUAGCUUGCAGCUUAAGUAACUACUCUAACUAACAUAUUAACAAUAUCUAGUUUGUCAUGAGCCGGCUCUAAUUGCUAUAACUGUAUUGUUGGCAUUUGUGUCUUCUUCCAUAGCUUGUGUAAUGAUGCAUCCAAACACUUUAUGUAAGUACUUUUUA